Molecule: ribosomal RNA, 1344 nt
Filed under: Triticum aestivum (bread wheat)
Lineage: Eukaryota; Viridiplantae; Streptophyta; Magnoliopsida; Poales; Poaceae
Description: partial small subunit ribosomal RNA
Source: RNAcentral
AUGUAUACACUGAUGGAAGAAUCUGAGAUGUUUAUGUUUUUUUAUGCCCAGGAUAAUGCAGAAACAUGUGCUGAACCCGGUGCCACAAAGACAGGACUAUCAGAGUUGCCGUUGGAUGUGAUAGAGAAGCUGCUGAAUCAUAUUUCUUGCCGUGGUGAUUGGGCUCGCCUUCGUUGUGCGAACAAGUUUUGGAAGGCAAAGGUAGAUGGUGCAAAAAGGCCCAUGCAGCUGCCAUCGCUUAUAUUGCCAUCAACCACGAAACCUACCUAUUACAGCACUGAUGGACAAGCCGUACAUCGACUUCGCCUCCCGGACAGUGUCAGGAGAGCUAAACGAAUCACUGGAGCACAUGAAGGCGAUUGGAUUCUUCUGGCUGAUGACACUAAAACCCCAGUAAACAAGAUUGAGGCUGAUGAAAAAGAAGCUAUACUACACAGGAACCAGAUCUACAACUUGAGCACUGGACGCGUUAUCCCUCUUCCGCAGCAAAUGUCUUCUCAUGGGGGAAGAGUUGAUGUUGAAGUGAGGGUAGGUGCUAUAGCUGGCUGCCUAGGUUCUCCCAAUGGGUUUGUGGUGGUUGCUAUUGUGCGUCCCUUAGAUAGCCCAUUUGAGCGUGCAGCUUAUUGUAACCAGUCGAUGGAACUGUGGGACGAUUGCGAGUAUAUCGGAGGUCACAGGAUGGAAGAUGCAAUGGGGAACUACGUGCCACUUGAUGAUGAGCUGCUGGAUGUAGUCCACAGGGAUGGCUCUUUUUAUCUCUUGACCAACGAUGAAGAAGUUGUGAAGCUGGUCUUUGAUCGCAAUCAGAUUGUGCAGCCAGUGUCAGGACUUGGAGUUAUGUUGCGGGAUGACUUACCAGCAAACAGAUUUUUGGUGGAACAAGGCCAACAAAUAUGGCGGUACCUUGUUCCAGUGCAAACAGGGCUCCUGAUGGUAAUCAGAUACAUUGUGGGUCGUCGGACUGAGAGAAUAAGAGUGUUCAAGCUCGAAGACAAGGAUGACCAGCUCCGCUGGAUUGAGCAAGAUGAUUUACCUGGUCACAAAGUAUUCAUCGGUCAUGGGUGCUCAAGAUGUUAUGAAGUUGGUGAUGAAGUUCUUAGCAUCUACUUCUAUGAUGACAGAGAGGAGCUGAGGAUGCCUCAGUACUAUUUCAGAGAUGAUUCAGGGAUUGCAACAAGUUUGGAGAUUUUUCCGUGGCCAGUUAUCAUGGGGAAGUCACAAAUUGAGAGUGUCUUCAUGGGGGAAUCACAAAUUGAGAGUGUCUUCAUGGGGGACUCACAAAUUGAGAGUGUCUCCGAAUGCUCUCCACCCGCUUGGUGGCUGCACAAGUGUCCUAGAGCGUGA